Molecule: long non-coding RNA, 1333 nt
Filed under: Olea europaea subsp. europaea
Lineage: Eukaryota; Viridiplantae; Streptophyta; Magnoliopsida; Lamiales; Oleaceae
Source: RNAcentral
CCCAGUUCGGUAACACCAUUAUUUCAAAAUUCUAUUUUUCAUACUCAUUUUCAAUCACACAUUCUCAUAAUAAAAUAUUUUUCAUGUAAACCUUAAACUUUUUUCUACUUUUAACCACACAUUGAUAAAAAAGUUGCUAUUCAAAAAUUCUUUCUUUUUAAAAAAAUUAUGUNUAACAAGGGCUAAAACUACUCAAACCAAUUAUUACAUGAAUUAAACCAAAAAUAGCAGCAUCGCUAUUCAUAGCAGUAAGCAACUUGCGAUUAUGUAAACAAUAAUAAAGAUUUCAAUAAAUCAUUGCUCGAUCGAGUAUUAUUGUCAUUUGAGAGAGUUAGAUAAGACUAAGUAUUUCUAAAUACAAACACCUCUCAUGUUUUACUGCCUUAAUCUUGAAUUGUCUUAUCCAAUCUAACAUACCAAAUAUGACACAGAGUAUUUACAUUUACAAGUAUACCAACAAUUGGCUUCUCAGAAUCAAGAGGAAGAGAACGAACAUAAGAACGUGUCUUUGCUAACAAUGCUUAAGAUUUAUAGCUUUUUGUGGGCAAGAAGCUAUAAGCCUGCAAUCAUUUUAGACUCAUCUCUGCACCAAGUAGUUUUUCAAGUAAAACCCUCUUAACUUGCAUCCAUAAUUCAAUAAAUUUGAAUUUGAUUUUCGUUUAGAAAAAAAAGAGAGAAAUCAGAGAACUAACAACUUUGGCUAGCAUGUCACGUAAUGAAUCUUGAGAGUACUAUUUCUGCAUCUCUUUGACCAAAUUCGUCCACAUUAGGAUUAUUCAUUAAUAGUUGAUCAAAUUAGAUGGAUUCACCCUCUGAACCAAGAAAUUCUAGUUCUAGAAGUAUAAUGCCCUUGUUUGAGCCCCAUUUUGAGGGGAAAAAUGAAUUUUUAAAUAGUGUAUUGAUGGAAAAUGCGUGGUCAAAAAAUAAGGAAAAGUUUUGGAUUUACGUGUAAUAUUAUUUUAUUGAAGAAUGUGUGAUUGAAAUAAUACCAAAAUGCUGUAGAAGAAUUUAUUUUUUCUAAAGAAUGGGGAUCAAAUAAGGGCAUUAAUAUAAACAAAUUGAUGUCCAUUCGAAGGAAUUUUUUAUGAUUGUAUCGUAGCCCCUAUUUCAUUAGGAGAAAAAUCUAAGGGUGGCAAACAUGCAAAGAGGUUGCAGGCUCGGCUCAAUUUAUGAGCUGCUCAAGCUUAUUUUGAGAUGAUAUAUGAGCCAGUCUAGCUCACAUUUUUUUUUUCAUGAGCCAGCCGGCUUAUUUUUUAUUCCUCAUUUUCGGCUUACUUUAUUAAUAUAUUGAAAAAGUUGCUCAUUUAGUUAAUUUAAUUUUUUUCAAAACGAG